This 887-nucleotide ribosomal RNA is filed under the name uncultured bacterium. Its description in RNAcentral is "bacterial SSU rRNA". It matches the Rfam family "Bacterial small subunit ribosomal RNA", at positions 505 to 1397 of the family's 1533-position model. The record is from RNAcentral.
GUGCCAGCCGCCGCGGUAAUACGUAGGUGGCAAGCGUUGUCCGGAUUUACUGGGCGUAAAGCGUAUGCAGGCGGAUGCCUAAGUAAGAAGUGAAAGGCGAGAGCUCAACUCUUGGACUGCUUCUUAUACUGGGCGUCUUGAGUGCCGGAGAGGAAGACGGAACGACACGUGUAGCGGUGAAAUGCGUUGAUAUGUGUCGGAACACCAAUGGCGAAAGCAAUCUUCUGGACGGAUACUGACGCUGAGAUACGAAAGCCAAGGUAGCGAACAGGAUUAGAUACCCUGGUAGUCUUGGCCGUAAACGAUGCUCACUAGGUGUUGGGGCUUAGCCUCGGUGCCGCAGCUAACGCAUUAAGUGAGCCGCCUGGGAACUACGGCCGCAAGGUUGAAACUCAAAGGAAUUGGCGGGGGCCCGCACAAGCGGUGGAGCAUAUGGCUUAAUUCGAUGCAACGCGAAGAACCUUACCAGGGCUUGACAUGUUCCUGCAAGCCGCCGAAAAGCGGUCGCCUUCGAGGGUGGAGCACAGGUGGUGCAUGGCUGUCGUCAGCUCGUGUUGUGAAAUGUUGGGUUAAGUCCCGCAACGAGCGCAACCCUCAUGUUCUGUUACCAGCGAGUAAUGUCGGGGACUCGGAACAAACUGCCUCUGUAAAGAGGAGGAAGGUGGGGAUGACGUCAAGUCAUCAUGCCCCUUACGCCCUGGGCUGCACAUAUGCUACAAUGGCCGGUACAAAGAGGUGCGAAUGCGCGAGCACAAGCAAAUCUCAAAAAGCCGGUCUCAGUUCGGAUUGGAGUCUGCAACUCGACUCCAUGAAGUCGGAAUCGCUAGUAACCGCAGGUCAGCAAUACUGCGGUGAAUACGUUCCCGGGCCUUGCACACACCGCCCGU